UUCAGUGAUUUGAUUGAUGGGGUGGACCAUCUGAUCGAGCAAGGGUGGGUCGACGCUGACCGCGUUGGCAUCACCGGGGGAUCUUAUGGGGGUUAUGCGACGGCUUGGGGCGCGACGUAUUACACCGAACGCUUUGCCGCCGCGGUGAUGAAUGUGGGUUUGUCCGACAAGAUUGCCAUGUUGGGGACCUCUGAUAUCGC
Molecule: ribosomal RNA, 200 nt
Filed under: uncultured eukaryote
Lineage: Eukaryota
Description: partial 18S ribosomal RNA
Source: RNAcentral